UCAUAUACGUUAGGAGUGGUGUUGUUCAACAACUACCUAAAUAUACACUAUCUCCUGAGUAAUACAUACUAAAUAGGCAUAGUCGACUGAGGGCCCUUCAAUCAACACCAAUCACAAUAUAGUUGAACAAAGAGAAAGAAUAUAAAGGCAAAUCUAUAUAAACAUAGCAAGAAAAUUAUUCUCAACGAGGUUCCAUCAAAACCCUAGAUUAAAUAUUUUGCGACUCAUGGUAAAACAAGAUAAAGCCAACAAAUAAUUUAUAAUUUACAAAAUAAUAACAACAAGAAGAAGAAUGAAAACUCUAAUGGUGUCUCGAUCUUCUCACACUUGUUCUUGCCUCCAAUUGAGUCUAAAAAUAAGUUUAACCUUCACUUAAGUGAGUUUGUUGAGUUUAUAUAUGGCUAGGAUAAGUUUCCCACACUUUAUACUUUAGCCCUUAAGCUUUUUUUGGCUUUCUCCAGAUCGACCGCGGUCAUUUAAGACUUUCUGUUUUUCGCCUUUCUUUCACCACGUUCCAGCGGCGGCCCUACCGCGGUUGCGGUGGACUGUUGCCCAGUUUUUCUUCGCCUUUUCUUGCUCGUUUUCAUCCGGGUUUUUUUCGAUUAGUCUUGUACCUAUAUAUUUGACCCCAAAAAUACUCUAUAUCCUCCUCCUAAUUCGGAGUAGCUCCUGCAAAGCUUAAAAAUCUCAAUUAGAGCAUUUUGUUAUCAUAUAACACUUAAAAUAUCAGUAAAGCAUAAUUAAUUUAGCGCAUAAAUAGUAUCUACAUCGCAUAAUAUAGGCUAUUAUCACUCGCUAACUACGGGAAUGUGGAUGAGCCAAACUUCAAACUGAGGGUAAAAUGAGACCUUCUCGCAAAGAAUAAGAGCAAAACCCUUUUCCUACGAUUAUUUUAAUUAGUCUCAAGUGAGUUAGAUUAGAAAUCUUAUCACGUGGCUAGCCCCACUAAAAAAAUGCAGCUCUAAGCAACCCCAAACACUAAGGAGACGUUUGAUAGGAGGUAUUAGAAAAAAUAAUACAAGUAUUUAUUUUUUAUGCAUUACUUAUACCAUAUUUGGUAUAUUUUUUUAGCCUACGUAUAACUAAGUAUUAGUUAUACAUCAUACUUGGUAUUAUCCUAUGCAUAAGUAAUGCUUAGAAAACUAUGACAUUAGUAACACCAAGGUUAUUAAUGAAUGCAUUAGUAUAUUCAAGACAAAAUUAUCCUUAAAGUCCCUUAAAGCUGGAGAAUACGGAAGGUAUUUUUGUAAACAACUGUUUUUCUUAAAAAUUAUGCAAUGCAUUAUAAUUUUAAUACACCACACCAAACAAUAUAUAAGAAAUAAUAUAUGCAUAACUAAUACUUGCAUUACUAACCCAUGCAUUACUAAUCCAUGCAUUACUAAUACACCUUAUUCCGCGCUAUUCUUAUACAUCCUACCAAACGGGGCCACACCACCUUCAUUCCGUAUUAAACCCUCUAGCUCCUUAACGACACAACCAAAAAGUGAUAUGGACAAAGAAAAGAGAAAAAUAAUUCUCCUACUUUGAUUCGUCGUCAACUCCAUUUUGUGUUAAAAUAUGUGGUUACUCAACAGACCUUCAGUGCUCCAGAGAUUUUUUCACAAGAUUCACUAUACUUCUCUAUGCUUUUCAAUAUCCUUCUAACUUAGCUAGAUACAUUAGCUACUCAUUGCUUUAAAAACACUCUGAAUUUUAUUGAUAGAAUAUUUUUAUAUAUGAGCUUGGUAUUUUCAAGAAAACAAGACUUCUUUUCUCUCCCA
Molecule: long non-coding RNA, 1763 nt
Filed under: Nicotiana benthamiana
Lineage: Eukaryota; Viridiplantae; Streptophyta; Magnoliopsida; Solanales; Solanaceae
Description: long non-coding RNA (NBEN_LNC003441)
Source: RNAcentral